Molecule: ribosomal RNA, 492 nt
Filed under: uncultured bacterium
Lineage: Bacteria
Description: partial 16S ribosomal RNA
Rfam family: Bacterial small subunit ribosomal RNA
Source: RNAcentral
AGUGAGCGCUGGCGGUAGGCCUAACACAUGCAAGUCGAACGGCAGCACAGUAAGAGCUUGCUCUUACGGGUGGCGAGUGGCGGACGGGUGAGGAAUACAUCGGAAUCUACUUUUUCGUGGGGGAUAACGUAGGGAAACUUACGCUAAUACCGCAUACGACCUACGGGUGAAAGCAGGGGAUCUUCGGACCUUGCGCGAUUGAAUGAGCCGAUGUCGGAUUAGCUGGUUGGCGGGGUAAAGGCCCACCAAGGCGACGAUCCGUAGCUGGUCUGAGAGGAUGAUAGGCCGCACUGGAACUGAGACACGGUCCAGACUCCUACGGGAGGCAGCAGUGGGGAAUAUUGGACAAUGGGCGCAAGCCUGAUCCAGCCAUACCGCGUGGGUGAAGGAGGCCUUCGGGUUGUAAAGCCCUUUUGUUGGGAAAGAAAAGCAGCAGGUUAAUACCCCGCUGUUCUGACGGUACCCAAAGAAUAAGCACCGGCUAACUUCGUG